Molecule: ribosomal RNA, 492 nt
Filed under: uncultured bacterium
Lineage: Bacteria
Description: partial 16S ribosomal RNA
Rfam family: Bacterial small subunit ribosomal RNA
Source: RNAcentral
AGUGAACGCUGGCGGUAGGCCUAACACAUGCAAGUCGAACGGCAGCACAGUAAGAGCUUGCUCUUACGGGUGGCGAGUGGCGGACGAGUGAGGAAUACAUCGGAAUCUACUUUUUCGUGGGGGAUAACGUAGGGAAACUUACGCUAAUACCGCAUACGACCUACGGGUGAAAGCAGGAGAUCUUCGGACCUUGCGCGAUUGAAUGAGCCGAUGUCGGAUUAGCUAGUUGGCGGGGUAAAGGCCCACCAAGGCGACGAUCCGUAGCUGGUCUGAGAGGAUGAUCAGCCACACUGGAACUGAGACACGGUCCAGACUCCUACGGGAGGCAGCAGUGGGGAAUAUUGGACAAUGGGCGCAAGCCUGAUCCAGCCAUACCGCGUGGGUGAAGAAGGCCUUCGGGUUGUAAAGCCCUUUUGUUGGGAAAGAAAAGCAGCAGGUUAAUACCCCGCUGUUCUGACGGUACCCAAAGAAUAAGCACCGGCUAACUUCGUG